UGGUGGAAUGUAAUCGUUUAACGACGUGCAUGUUCACAAUUUUGUGAUAUGUAUCAACUCCGUUGAAUAAAAUUCUGGGUAGAUGAUUGAUGAUGACAAAUAUCUAUUCACAUAUCUUGACCAAUGCUUGUGCCAGCAGUCGCGGCAACACAAGUAAGAUUAGUGUUAUUCAUCUUUAUUAGGUUUAAAGGGUACCUAGACGGCAAAAGCAACUUCUAAAAAGUAUAUCUUUGCUAGAGUUUUAUGUGAGAGGUAAAUAUUAGGACUAUUGGUGUAGGGAUGAAAUCCCUUGAUACUAAUAGAAUGUGUAACGGCGAAGACAACCCUCUAUGUAUAAACUGACGUUGAGGGACGAAGGCUUGGGGAGCAAACAGGAUUAGAUACCCUAGUAGUCCAGGCAGAAAAUCAUGAAUGUUAUAGGUUAGAUUAUAAAUUGGCGUAUAAAUGAAAGUGUAAGCAUUCCACCUCAAGAGUAAUGCGGCAACGCAGGAACUGAAAUCAUUAGACCGUUUCUGAAACCAGUAGUGAAGUAUGUUUUUUAAUUCGAUGACCCUCGAAAAACCUUACCACAAUUUGAAUGGUAUUUAAAUAGCUAUUACUUUUUUAUAUUAAUAGUUACUUGGAUAUAACAAGCGUUGCACGGCUGUCUAAAGCUAAUGUCGUGAGAUUUUGGUUAGAUCCAUUAAAUUAGCGUAAUCCCUUGCUUUAUUUACCAACGAUGAGGAUAGUGCUUGGUUGCGUCAGCAACUGGGAUAAUAGGAAGAAGACAGUCAUCAUGCCUUAUAUG
RNAcentral lists this ribosomal RNA (787 nucleotides) under Capnodiales sp. CCFEE 5271. Its description in RNAcentral is "mitochondrial SSU rRNA". It matches the Rfam family "Bacterial small subunit ribosomal RNA", at positions 355 to 1206 of the family's 1533-position model. Lineage: Eukaryota; Fungi; Ascomycota; Dothideomycetes; Capnodiales. The record is from RNAcentral.